GACGAACGCUGGCGGCGUGCUUAACACAUGCAAGUCGAACGGAAAGGCCCUGCUUUUGUGGGGUGCUCGAGUGGCGAACGGGUGAGUAACAAGUGAGUAACCUGCCCUUGACUUUGGGAUAACUUCAGGAAACUGGGGCUAAUACCGGAUAGGAGCUCCUGCUGCAUGGUGGGGGUUGGAAAGUUUCGGCGGUUGGGGAUGGACUCGCGGCUUAUCAGCUUGUUGGUGGGGUAGUGGUUUACCAAGGCUUUGACGGGUAGCCGGCCUGAGAGGGUGACCGGCCAAAUUGGGACUGAGAUACGGCCCAGACUGCUACGGGAGGCAGCAGUGGGGAAUAUUGCACAAUGGGCGGAAGCCUGAUGCAGCAACGCCGCGUGCGGGAUGACGGCCUUCGGGUUGUAAACCGCUGUCGCCUGUGACGAAGCGUGAGUGACGGUAAUGGGUAAAGAAGCACCGGCUAACUACGUG
Molecule: ribosomal RNA, 468 nt
Filed under: uncultured bacterium
Lineage: Bacteria
Description: partial 16S ribosomal RNA
Rfam family: Bacterial small subunit ribosomal RNA
Source: RNAcentral